GGGCGUGAGAGCGCGGACCCCCACACUGGCACUGAGAUACGGGCCAGACUCCUACGGGAGGCAGCAGUAAUGGAUAUUGCGCAAUGGACGAAAGUCAGACGCAGCGACGCCGCGUGGGCGAUGAAGGCCUUCGGGUUGUAAAGCCCUUUUAUGGGGGAAGAGAAAAAGGACGGUACCCCAUGAAUAAGUCCCGGCUAACUACGUGCCAGCAGCCGCGGUAAAACGUAUGGGACAAGCGUUAUCCGGAUUCACUGGGCGUAAAGAGCGUUGAGGCGGUUCCGUAAGUUGGGCGUGAAAGCUCCGGGCUUAACUCGGAGAUGUCGUUCACUACUGCGGGGCUUGAGGACAGCAGAGGAAGGUGGAAUUCCCGGUGUUAGUGGUGAAAUGCGUAGAUAUCGGGAGGGAACACCCGCGGCGAAUGCGGCCUUCUGGGCUGUUCCUGACGCUGAAGGCGAAAGCUAGGGGAGCGAACGGGAUUAGAUACCCCGGUAGUCCUAGCUGUAAACGAUGGAUGCUGGGUUUGGGGGGUGUAAAUUCCCUCUGUGCCGAAGCAAACGCGUUAAGCAUCCCGCCUGGGGACUACGGCCGCAAGGCUAAAACUCAAACGAAUUGACGGGGGCCCGCACAGGCAGCGGAGCGUGUGGUUUAAUUCGAUGCUACACGAAGAACCUUACCUGGGUUUGACAUGCACGUGGUAGGGAACCGAAAGGGGACCGACCUUCGGGAGCGUGCACAGGUGCUGCAUGGCUGUCGUCAGCUCGUGCCGUGAGGUGUCGGGUUAAGUCCCGUAACGAGCGCAACCCUUGCCCUUAGUUACAAGUGUCUAAGGGGACUGCCCGGGACAACUGGGAGGAAGGUGGGGAUGACGUCAAGUCAGCAUGGCCUUUAUAUCCAGGGCUACACACACGCUACAAUGGCCGGUACAAUAGGUUGCGAAGUCGUGAGGCGGAGCCAAUCCUCAAAGCCGGUCUCAGUUCGAAUUGCAGUCUGCAACUCGACUGCAUGAAGCUGGAGUUGCUAGUAAUCGCAGGUCAGCUAUACUGCGGUGAAUACGUUCCCGGGCCUUGACACACCGCCCGUCACGUCAUGGAAGCUGGCAACGCCUGAAGCCGGUGAGCUAACCCGAAAGG
This 1130-nucleotide ribosomal RNA is filed under the name uncultured organism. RNAcentral's name for it is "bacterial SSU rRNA". It matches the Rfam family "Bacterial small subunit ribosomal RNA", at positions 288 to 1446 of the family's 1533-position model. The record is from RNAcentral.